RNAcentral lists this ribosomal RNA (497 nucleotides) under uncultured bacterium. RNAcentral describes it as "partial 16S ribosomal RNA". It matches the Rfam family "Bacterial small subunit ribosomal RNA", at positions 28 to 507 of the family's 1533-position model. The record is from RNAcentral.
GAUGAACGCUGGCGGCGUGCCUAAUACAUGCAAGUCGAGCGAACAGACGAGGAGCUUGCUCCUCUGACGUUAGCGGCGGACGGGUGAGUAACACGUGGAUAACCUACCUAUAAGACUGGGAUAACUUCGGGAAACCGGAGCUAAUACCGGAUAAUAUAUUGAACCGCAUGGUUCAAUAGUGAAAGACGGUUUUGCUGUCUCUUCUCGAUGGAUCCGCGCCGCAUUAGCUAGUUGGUAAGGUAACGGCUUACCAAGGCUACGAUGCGUAGCCGACCUGAGAGGGUGAUCGGCCACACUGGAACUGAGACACGGUCCAGACUCCUACGGGAGGCAGCAGUAGGGAAUCUUCCGCAGUGGGCGAAAGCUUGACGGAGCAACGCCGCGUGAGUGAUGAAGGUCUUCGGAUCGUAAAACUCUGUUAUUAGGGAAGAACAACUGUGUAAGUAACUAUGCACGUCUUGACGGUACCUAAUCAGAAAGCCACGGCUAACUACGUG